UAUAUUAAAUGGUACAAAUUCAGAACAUCAUAUAUUCAUUAUUACCAUAUAAAUAAAUAACAUCAAAGAAAUUUUUUAUCUCGCUACAGUUUUCACCCCAUAAAAAAAAUGCAAGCGGAAUUGAGCAAGCCCUUACGAACUUGUAUCCAACAUUAUUAUCUUCAUAUGGUAAUUCAUUUGUGUGUUGUCCUAUAGUAAAACGUGUAAGACUGCCUUCAAUAAACUGAAGCAUAUCAACAAUGUUUUCCAUCAAAACGAAUUUCGGUUUUUAAAACUCCUCGUGUUCAUCCAAACAAUAAUUUCGGAGGAAAGAAAUCAUGACAAGAUGUCAAGAUCUUACCAAGUCCAAAUAGUUACCUUGUGAGAAAUAAAAAUUCUACAAAGUAUAGAAUGAGUUACUCUAAUGUAUUUUGAUGAUAAAUUCAUACUUUAGAGA
RNAcentral lists this small RNA (436 nucleotides) under Arabidopsis thaliana (thale cress). RNAcentral describes it as "ATSL016980". The record is from RNAcentral. Lineage: Eukaryota; Viridiplantae; Streptophyta; Magnoliopsida; Brassicales; Brassicaceae.